GAAAUGGACGACUAGGGUUCCGGUCCACCGCAUGUCAGAUGCGAUGGAUGCUGGUCCGAGAGUUGUCGACCUCAAGGGUGCUUCGAGGUUACACGGCGGGAUAAAAGCCCGGGAGAG
This 117-nucleotide small RNA is filed under the name Caballeronia choica. RNAcentral's name for it is "Burkholderia choica Guanidine-I sequence". It matches the Rfam family "Guanidine-I riboswitch aptamer". Rfam says of the family: This family represents a conserved RNA structure found upstream of the ykkC and yxkD genes in Bacillus subtilis and related genes in other bacteria. The function of this family is unclear although it has been suggested that it may function to switch on efflux pumps and detoxification systems in response to harmful environmental molecules. The record is from RNAcentral. Lineage: Bacteria; Pseudomonadati; Pseudomonadota; Betaproteobacteria; Burkholderiales; Burkholderiaceae.